AUGGAGCCCUGGGAGGUUAUAAACAGCGAUGGAGAUGGACCAUAUGCCGUUAGAACCCUGUUGGGAUGGGUUGUAAGUGGACCACUCCAAGGAAGCAAGGAUAAUAGGAACAAGAUUGAAUGUCCAGAUGAUUCUGUUAACAGGAUUUCUGUAAGCAAAUUGGAGGAGAUGCUCAAUAAAAAAUAUAAUCAUGAAUUUAAUGAGAAUGCUGCUGAAAAAAAGGAAAUUUCAAGAGAAGAGCAUGCAUUUAUGGAAAAGGUAAGCAAGUCAAUUGAGCUUCAAGAUGGACAUUACAAAUUGAAUCUUCCUUUCAGGAUGGAAAACCGCAUGUUGCCAAAUAACCUUUGUGUGGCUAAACAGCGCUUAAUUGGACUGAAAAGGAAAUUUGAAAUAAAUAAAGCUUUCCAUCAAGAAUAUAAAGAUUUUAUGGAUGAGGUACUGAAGCAAGGUUAUGUUGAAAAGGUACCAUUGCAUCCGUUAAAACAGGAUGAAGGGAAAGUUUGGUAUAUCCCUCACCAUGGAGUUUAUCACCCCAAGAAAGGAACAUUAAGAGUGGUAUUUGAUUGUGGAGCUGCCUUCAAAGGUACAUCACUAAAUGAUCAACUUCUACAGGGUCCUAAUUUGACAAAUUCACUGUUAGGAGUUCUGGUGAGAUUUCGACAAGAGCCAAUUGCAUUUAUGGCUGAUGUAAAGGCAAUGUUUCACCAGGUCAAAAUUGCAGCAGAGGAUACUGAUUUUCUUUAUUUCCUAUGGUGGCAAGAUGGUGACAUAAACCAAGAACCUGUGGAAUACAGGAUGAAUGUACAUUUGUUUGGAGCCGUGUCAUAUCCAAGUUGUGCUUGCUAUGCUCUACGCAGAACUGCUGAAGACAAUAAAGCUGACUUGCUGGAAAAGGUAAUUGACACAAUUCACCCAAACUUUUACAUGGAUGAUUGUCUGAAAAUUGUAGCUUCAGAGGAAGAAGCCAUCCUGAAGAUUAAAGAUCUCACAGCUGUUUGUUUAACAGGAGGCUUCCAGUUAACAAAAUGGGUUAGUAAUAGCCGUGCUGUGCUGCAAACUGUACCUGAAGAACAUAGAGCCCAUGGGAUAAAAAUGAUGGACCUGGACAAAGAUCAACUACCAAUGGAAAGAGCUCUUGGUUUGUGGUGGUGUGUUGAAUCAGAUACUUUCAAGUUGAAAAUAACUAUCAAAGAUCAUCCUUGUACCAGGCGUGGUGUUUUGUCAACAGUAUGCGCUGUAUAUGACCCUUUAGGAUUUUUGGCACCAUUCACUCUCACAGCAAAAAUUCUUCUGCAGGAGCUUCGUAGGACAAGAUGUGGAUGGGAUGAAUCACUACCCUCAAAUCUCCAAAGACAAUGGUCUUCAUAA
Long non-coding RNA from Cyprinus carpio (common carp), 1368 nucleotides. NCBI's taxonomy places the organism in Eukaryota, Metazoa, Chordata, Actinopteri, Cypriniformes, Cyprinidae. The record is from Ensembl.